GUGAGUCAUCGAAUCUUUGAACGCACAUUGCGCCCGCCAGUAUCCUGGCGGGCAUGCCUGUUCGAGCGUCAUUUCAACCCUCAGGCCCUGCCUGGUGUUGGGAGCCUGCGCCUGCAGCUCCCCAAAGACAGCGGCGGUCGUGCCCUGAAGCUGAACGUAGUAACAUACCUCGUUCUGGCCCAAGGCGCGCUCUUGCCGUAAAACCCCCUCUUUCUAAGGUUGACCUCGGAUCAGGUAGGAAUACCCGCUGAACUUAAGCAUAUCAAUAAGCGGAGGA
This 277-nucleotide unclassified non-coding RNA is filed under the name Menispora sp. RNAcentral's name for it is "partial contains 5.8S ribosomal RNA, internal transcribed spacer 2, and large subunit ribosomal RNA". The stretch from base 1 to 71 matches the Rfam family "5.8S ribosomal RNA", at positions 84 to 154 of the family's 154-position model. The record is from RNAcentral. Lineage: Eukaryota; Fungi; Ascomycota; Sordariomycetes; Chaetosphaeriales; Chaetosphaeriaceae.